This 334-nucleotide long non-coding RNA is filed under the name Coffea arabica (coffee). Its description in RNAcentral is "long non-coding RNA (CARA_LNC005456)". Lineage: Eukaryota; Viridiplantae; Streptophyta; Magnoliopsida; Gentianales; Rubiaceae. The record is from RNAcentral.
UUUUCCAUCUCUUUUUGUUUCAUUUUUUUCAUUUUCCCCAAAAUAACUUAAUAAAAAUAACUAAAGUGCCCAAAGAUUGAAUUUAAAUAAAUAAACAUAUUUUUGUGAACAAAUUUUCCUUUUUCCUUUUUCUCUUUUUUUCAUUUUUCCGAUCUAACUAAAGCCUAUUUUUUUGAAUUUUUCUUUUCAAGAAAGCAUUGAAUAAAAAUAAAAUGACUAUAACAUAUUUUUGAUGUUUUUCCCUUUUUUUCUAAAAACUCUACGCUAAUUUUAAACUUAAAAGCUAAGACUAAAAAUUAAAACUAAAAGUAAACAACGAAUGCAAGCAAUCUAA